GACGGGGGGGGCAAGUGUUCUUCGGAAUUACUGGGCGUAAAGCGCACGCAGGCGGUUUGUUAAGUCAGAUGUGAAAUCCCCGAGCUUAACUUGGGAACUGCAUUUGAAACUGGCAAGCUAGAGUCUUGUAGAGGGGGGUAGAAUUCCAGGUGUAGCGGUGAAAUGCGUAGAGAUCUGGAGGAAUACCGGUGGCGAAGGCGGCCCCCUGGACAAAGACUGACGCUCAGGUGCGAAAGCGUGGGGAGCAAACAGG
Molecule: ribosomal RNA, 253 nt
Filed under: uncultured bacterium
Lineage: Bacteria
Description: partial 16S ribosomal RNA
Rfam family: Bacterial small subunit ribosomal RNA
Source: RNAcentral